RNAcentral lists this ribosomal RNA (301 nucleotides) under uncultured bacterium. Its description in RNAcentral is "partial 16S ribosomal RNA". It matches the Rfam family "Bacterial small subunit ribosomal RNA", at positions 509 to 807 of the family's 1533-position model. The record is from RNAcentral.
CAGCAGCCGCGGUAAUGCGUAGGUGGCAAGCGUUGUCCGGAAUUAUUGGGCGUAAAGGGCUCGCAGGCGGUUUCUUAAGUCUGAUGUGAAAGCCCCCGGCUCAACCGGGGAGGGUCAUUGGAAACUGGGAAACUUGAGUGCAGAAGAGGAGAGUGGAAUUCCGCGUGUAGCGGUGAAAUGCGUAGAGAUGUGGAGGAACACCAGUGGCGAAGGCGACUCUCUGGUCCGUAACUGACGCUGAGGAGCGAAAGCGUGGGGAGCGAACAGGAUUAGAUACCCCGGUAGUCCCUGUCUCUUAUAC